AGUGUAAUGCUCAUUUGCAUUGUUUUGAAUUAAUCAUGCAAUAUCUUAUGUCUUUGAGGUUUCAAUAAUGGGAGGGUUUAAUUUUUGGAAUAACAUUGUAGGGUAGGUAUGAGAAGUCAGAUCUGGCUAGUUUUAACAUAAGGCAAGUAGACUAUUUUGGUCGGAUAUGGCUGGUUUAAA
Long non-coding RNA from Octopus sinensis (East Asian common octopus), 180 nucleotides. RefSeq lists it as uncharacterized. The transcript has 2 exons. NCBI's taxonomy places the organism in Eukaryota, Metazoa, Mollusca, Cephalopoda, Octopoda, Octopodidae. The record is from RefSeq and is a predicted model, not a curated record.